UACGUAGGGGGCGAGCGUUGUCCGGAGUUACUGGGCGUAAAGCGCACGCAGGCGGUCUGUUAAGUUUGGAGUGACAGUUGGUGGCUUAACUGCCAAAGUGCUUCGAAAACUGACAGACUUGAGGGCUUCAGAGGGACACGGAAUUCCGGGUGGAGUGGUGAAAUGCGCAGAUAUCAGGAAGAACACCCGUGGCUAAGGCGGCUCUCUAGUACGGUACUGACGCUGAGACGCGAAAGCGUGGGGAGCGAACAGG
RNAcentral lists this ribosomal RNA (253 nucleotides) under uncultured bacterium. RNAcentral describes it as "partial 16S ribosomal RNA". It matches the Rfam family "Bacterial small subunit ribosomal RNA", at positions 524 to 776 of the family's 1533-position model. The record is from RNAcentral.